GCGUAAGGAGGUUCUGCUAAAAGCUCGGCGUCCUGCCGCAACGCAGAACUGACCUGCAUCGUGCAGG
RNAcentral lists this small RNA (67 nucleotides) under Bacillus sp. SJS. Its description in RNAcentral is "Bacillaceae-1 RNA". It matches the Rfam family "Bacillaceae-1 RNA". Lineage: Bacteria; Bacillati; Bacillota; Bacilli; Caryophanales; Bacillaceae. The record is from Rfam by way of RNAcentral.